GGGGCGCAUGCGGCGAUCCACUUCUACGCACGUUCGAGGCUCUCUUCGGCGAGGGUGGCGCCCCCCUGCUCGCACCGUGGGACGAGAUGUCGUUCA
RNAcentral lists this non-coding RNA (96 nucleotides) under Haptolina ericina. The record is from RNAcentral. Lineage: Eukaryota; Haptophyta; Prymnesiales; Prymnesiaceae.